CCUACGGGAGGCUGCAGUGGGGAAUAUUGGGCAAUGGGCGCAAGCCUGACCCAGCAACGCCGCGUGAAGGAAGAAGGCUUUCGGGUUGUAAACUUCUUUUCUCAGGGACGAAGAAAGUGACGGUACAUGAGGAAUAAGCCACGGCUAACUACGUGCCAGCAGCCGGGGUAAUACGUAGGUGGAAAGCGGUAACCGGAGUUAUUGGGUGUAAAGGGCGUGUUGGCGGGAGGUCAAGUCAGAUGUGAAAGCUCAGGGCUAAACCCUGAGCCGGAAUUGGAAACUGUGUUUCUUGGGUGCUGGAGAGGCAAUCGGAAUUCCGGGUGUAGCGGUGAAAUGCGUAGAUAUACGGAGGAACACCAGUGGCGAAGGCGGAUUGCUGGACAGUAACUGACGCUGAGGCGCGAAAGCGUGGGGAGCAAACAGGAUUAGAUACCCCGUAGUC
Molecule: ribosomal RNA, 442 nt
Filed under: uncultured bacterium
Lineage: Bacteria
Description: partial 16S ribosomal RNA
Rfam family: Bacterial small subunit ribosomal RNA
Source: RNAcentral